This 75-nucleotide small nucleolar RNA is filed under the name Leptobrachium leishanense (Leishan spiny toad). Lineage: Eukaryota; Metazoa; Chordata; Amphibia; Anura; Megophryidae. The record is from RNAcentral.
UGGCAAUGAUGUCUAAGAAUUUCUUCACCUGAAUAGAAUCGUGUGGCUUUUCUGAGCUUUUUAACCCUGAGCAGU